UUCAUUAUAUUCCCUACAAAUACCUUAUUUGAUUUCAAUUUGAGUGAGCUUACAUUUGUGGUAAUUCAUAUAAGGAGCAAGCUUAUGGUAAAAAAAGCUGAACUGACCUUCUCUUAAGAGAGAUGAGUAUCUUUUCCACUAUCCUCGUUCUAAGUGCUACAAAUAUUUGGGGAGUGUGAGUUUGGGUUCCACAAUGACCUAUGUAGUAGAAAGAGUCUUUCCACAAUCCUCGUUCUAAGUGCUACAAUCUACAGUGAGGUUUGCAUACAAAUAUUUGGGGAGUGUGAGUUUGGGUUCCACAAUGACCUAUGUAGUAGAAAGAGUCUCCUUGAUGAGUUGAGUCAACUCUUGAUGCUCUUGUGAUUCACUAAAGCCAUGGUGCUAAAAAGGUUGUGUGUUGUUCAUAAUGCAUUUGUGUUUAGGGUAAUUGUUAAUCCCAAUUGAUCCUUAAUGAAG
RNAcentral lists this long non-coding RNA (456 nucleotides) under Nicotiana benthamiana. RNAcentral's name for it is "long non-coding RNA (NBEN_LNC032655)". Lineage: Eukaryota; Viridiplantae; Streptophyta; Magnoliopsida; Solanales; Solanaceae. The record is from RNAcentral.